GUGUUUGCUUCAGCAGCACAUAUACUAAAAUUGGAAUGAUACAGAGAAGAUUAGCGUGGCCCCUGAGCAAGGAUGGCAUGCAAACUUACGAAACAUUCCAUAUUAAA
Molecule: small nuclear RNA, 107 nt
Organism: Camelus dromedarius (Arabian camel)
Lineage: Eukaryota; Metazoa; Chordata; Mammalia; Artiodactyla; Camelidae
Source: Ensembl